AUUGAACGCUGGCGGCAGGCCUAACACAUGCAAGUCGAGCGGAUGAAGGGAGCUUGCUCCUGGAUUCAGCGGCGGACGGGUGAGUAAUGCCUAUGAAUCUGCCUGGUAGUGGGGGAUAACGUCCGGAAACGGGCGCUAAUACCGCAUACGUCCUGAGGGAGAAAGUGGGGGAUCUUCGGACCUCACGCUAUCAGAUGAGCCUAGGUCGGAUUAGCUAGUUGGUGGGGUAAAGGCCUACCAAGGCGACGAUCCGUAACUGGUCUGAGAGGAUGAUCAGUCACACUGGAACUGAGACACGGUCCAGACUCCUACGGGAGGCAGCAGUGGGGAAUAGUGGACAAUGGGCGAAAGCCUGAUCCAGCCAUGCCGCGUGUGUGAAGAAGGUCUUCGGAUUGUAAAGCACGUUAAGUUGGGAGGAAGGGCAGUAAGUUAAUACCUUGCUGUUUUGACGUUACCAACAGAAGAAGCACCGGCUAACUUCGUG
Molecule: ribosomal RNA, 484 nt
Filed under: uncultured bacterium
Lineage: Bacteria
Description: partial 16S ribosomal RNA
Rfam family: Bacterial small subunit ribosomal RNA
Source: RNAcentral